RNAcentral lists this ribosomal RNA (171 nucleotides) under uncultured bacterium. Its description in RNAcentral is "partial 16S ribosomal RNA". It matches the Rfam family "Bacterial small subunit ribosomal RNA", at positions 1331 to 1500 of the family's 1533-position model. The record is from RNAcentral.
UUAGCUAGUAAUCGCGAAUCAGAAUGUCGCGGUGAAUACGUUCCCGGGCCUUGUACACACCGCCCGUCACACCAUGAGAGUCGAUAACACCCGAAGCCUGUGAGCUAACCUUUUAGGAGGCAGCAGUCGAAGGUGGGGUUGAUGAUUGGGGUGAAGUCGUAACAAGGUACC